AAAGGGUGCGUAGGCGGGUAGGUAAGUCAGUGGUGAAAUCCUAGAGCUUAACUCUAGAACUGCCAUUGAUACUAUCUAUCUUGAAUAUUGUGGAGGUAAGCGGAAUAUGUCAUGUAGCGGUGAAAUGCUUAGAUAUGACAUAGAACACCUAUUGCGAAGGCAGCUUACUACGCAUAUAUUGACGCUGAGGCACGAAAGCGUGGGGAUCAAACAGGAUUAGAUACCCGAGU
Molecule: ribosomal RNA, 230 nt
Filed under: uncultured bacterium
Lineage: Bacteria
Description: partial 16S ribosomal RNA
Rfam family: Bacterial small subunit ribosomal RNA
Source: RNAcentral